RNAcentral lists this ribosomal RNA (431 nucleotides) under uncultured bacterium. RNAcentral's name for it is "partial 16S ribosomal RNA". It matches the Rfam family "Bacterial small subunit ribosomal RNA", at positions 29 to 507 of the family's 1533-position model. The record is from RNAcentral.
AGCGAACGCUGGCGGCAGGCCUAACACAUGCAAGUCGAACGAACUCUUCGGAGUUAGUGGCGGACGGGUGAGUAACACGUGGGAACGUGCCUUUUGGUUCGGAAUAACUCAGGGAAACUUGUGCUAAUACCGAAUGUGCCCUUCGGGGGAAAGAUUUAUCGCCAUUAGAGCGGCCCGCGUCUGAUUAGCUAGUUGGUGAGGUAACGGCUCACCAAGGCGACGAUCAGUAGCUGGUCUGAGGAUGACCAGCCACACUGGGACUGAGACACGGCCCAGACUCCUACGGGAGGCAGCAGUGGGGAAUCUUGCGCAAUGGGCGAAAGCCUGACGCAGCCAUGCCGCGUGAAUGAUGAAGGUCUUAGGAUUGUAAAAUUCUUUCACCGGGGACGAUAAUGACGGUACCCGGAGAAGAAGCCCCGGCUAACUUCGUG